UACGAAGGGGGCUAGCGUUGCUCGGAAUUACUGGGCGUAAAGCGCACGUAGGCGGAUCUUUAAGUCAGGGGUGAAAUCCUGGAGCUCAACUCCAGAACUGCCUUUGAUACUGAGGACCUUGAGUUCGGGAGAGGUGAGUGGAACUGCGAGUGUAGAGGUGAAAUUCGUAGAUAUUCGCAAGAACACCAGUGGCGAAGGCGGCUCACUGGCCCGAUACUGACGCUGAGGUGCGAAAGCGUGGGGAGCAAACGGG
Molecule: ribosomal RNA, 253 nt
Filed under: uncultured bacterium
Lineage: Bacteria
Description: partial 16S ribosomal RNA
Rfam family: Bacterial small subunit ribosomal RNA
Source: RNAcentral